GCCCUGUAGACGUCUGCAUCCGAGGGCGCUCCCAGCGCCCCUGCCUUCUUCACGGCUUGUACAGAGGGCCUCCUGGGCCUCAAGGGACUGCAUCAAUCCAGUUCUAGUUUCCUGUGGUUCUAGAUAGGGUUAAUAAUGGAAACUGAGCGAACUGAUGGAUGACAUUAAUGAACUAGAAGGCCAAGCCAGAGACCCAGAUAAAAGGUUCUGCUCCCGAAAGACCCUGCACAACCGGGAGGAUUGUUACAGCCACUGAAGAACAAUUCACUCCCUCGUCCGGACACAGGGCCACACUGAACACCUACCACACUCUCCUCUCCGAGACUGAGAUGGUGACGUCAGGACAAAGAGUGGGACUUCAGGCUGUCAGGCCUGGGCGGGUAGAGGAAAGGGGGAGGACAGGGCUGAAAGAGGAAGAGGGAGGGGAAGAUGAAAGGAGGAAGGAGGAGGAGAGAGGAAGUGGGAACUGGAAAGAGGGUGGAGGGAUCAGGGACAGAGAAACCACACUUACUAACUGUAUUAGUAUUCACAUGUCAUCAGAGAAUGAGUGCCUGGUCAAUAAAAGGGUCCAGAGAAGAAAGACUGGAUCAUUAUUGGUGAGCAGUGAGGAAUAAGUGAAUUGCUUCCUAGGUUGGACAAAACCACUGCCACCUCAAAUAUGGUGGAUUUCCUACUCAACCCACUCCCCCAGGCCCCACUCCAGGAGCUGGGCUGGGAGCAGUUAAGGCUCUUAAACUUAUUUUCCUCAGUCAGGGACAAGGGGCCCACUUGGUGCAAUGGAAAAGGCACAGAGUAAACUCUAACUGCUCCUCUUUUUCAGGUAAUGAUAAUAAAAUUAUCAAUGUAAGAAACAUUUGAACCUGCAGAAAAUUCUUGGUGAGAAAACUCAGCUCAGAGAGGCUGAUGUCAUAGUGCUGGAGGUCCCUGGUCCUGAGGUUUGGGAUGUGGCCUUGGCAAAUGGAGGUAGUGUUUGAACCCUGGGAAUGACUUCAGCUCCCACACUUCAAGGGGAUUCCUCCCAGCCCGAAGAUUUGGAAACCCUGUGGUUAGAAAAGAAAGAAAAGAGCACGAGAGGGCUCCAAACCUCAGAACCAUGUUGACUAUGACUUAAACGUGUUCUCUGUCCCUCU
Long non-coding RNA from Phyllostomus discolor (pale spear-nosed bat), 1130 nucleotides. RefSeq lists it as uncharacterized. The record is from RefSeq and is a predicted model, not a curated record. The transcript is spliced from 3 exons. NCBI's taxonomy places the organism in Eukaryota, Metazoa, Chordata, Mammalia, Chiroptera, Phyllostomidae.